AACGUGGACGGGCAGCUGCAGGAUAAAUCUCCUGGUCUUUUUCCCCUCCGGUGCAAGGAGCCGCUCGCUGUGCUGGCCGGGGGGGACGGCAGCGUUCCUGCCCCCCUGAUUUAUUAUCUCUGCUCGGCACACAGGGAAGGGGAUUCUUCACAGGGAGGCAAGUUGGCAGCUCGAAGCCGUCCCCUGGAAGCAGCCGGCGCUUGGUGUGAGCGUUCAUUCGAAGGAGCAGGGAGAGAAAGGAAAAAAGCUGCAGUGGGGAACGAGGAAGAUUAAAAAAAAGCAGACACCUCCGAGGCGCUCGCGAAGCUGGGAGGCAGCAAGGCAGCCGGGAUUUCUGGUCUGAGGCUGGGACGGAGACCCGCGGAGCUGAUGCGAGAGGAGUUUUGCAUAUUCAGAAAACGCGCUUUGCCUGGGAAGGAAGCAGAGGCAACGAAGCCCCGGCUCUCCAGGGAUUUUUGCUCCUACAGAAACGGAGAAAGGCGACGAUUUCUCUGGAAGAAGCUUCACACGGGCAUCCUGGGGACACUCGGUUGGGCAUUGGUGGGGAGAAAAAGAGGAACGUCACCUCUGGGAGGUGACCGACACAUGUCCCCAAGUGCCCUGUAGGCUCAGUAGGAGGCCAGUAAUUCAGGUUGCAGACAAGGCCCCAUUGACUCUCCUCCGAGCGCGGAGCGGUUCAGUUGUUGGCACUGGAAAAGCGGCCGCUGCCCGCCGGCUGGGGGAAAAAUCAAGGACCACGAGUGGCCACCCGGCUGUCCCCACAAGUGAUGGGGUCCUGGGGGCUCAGCCCACGGGGAUUUGGGCUGGAGGAUUUGGGCUGGGGGGCUGUAGCAGCAGCCGCUGCCGCAAGCAGGUUUAAUUCACGCCAGCAGAUGACGGAGGCGUCCCCUGGACCUUUUGUGCCUCGCGGCUCCGAGGAGGAGGAAAUUCAUCUGCGAGCAGCAGGUCUCUGGCUGGAAUCCCCCCUCCGGCCGGGGAACCUGCGCUGGGGACUUUUAAUUUAACGUGGCUCUGCUCAGCCCAAAAACAUUAGCUUAACAUUAUCGCAGGGGUAAGUCAACAAAUAGGGAAAAAUCUACCGAGGUUACGUUUUGCCCACUUUUCCUGCACCUUUGGAGAUGAAACUGGAGCUAGGCUGCUAAGUUCCAGUGAUUUAUUGGUGGGCUGAGGAGCUGGGUUUUAAAUACUGCAUCUUUGGGAUGCUGGCAACCUCGCUUCCUAUAAAUCUUAACUAGUAUUUCUGAGCCCUUUUAUGCCAGCUGCUUUCAUGUAUUCAGAACCUUUUCUGUGCAGUAGCCUAUGAAAAUAUUGAAACGAUGCCCAGAGCAACACCAGGAUAUGAAGGGGAAAACUUUAAGAUGUUUUGUAACUAUUUUUUAACAGAACCUGCCAAAUCUUAAUUUUUCCAGUUUACAAGUAAGAGCCUCUAACCAUCUGUUUGCUGUCAACCGAUGUUUGUUUGGAAAGGAAUUUUAUUAUUUUUUUCCAUCUCGCACUCCUGUUCUUACAACUAGUUUACUGAACUUCAUAAAUGUCAGCUUUCACAGUUGUUUUGUAAGCCAGUUAUGAUUUAGGAUUUAAUCAAAAUUGAGCAGUCAGUGUCUUUAAUCAAUCUGAAUGGAGAUCAAAAACAAAAGAAACGGAGACUGAAAAAUGAAACAUUUAAUGUAUCCCAACAGUCUUUGAAAGAGCCUUAUUUCCAGCAUAAUAGCUACCAGGAAUCAUUAUAACAAACUUUAAAAAAAAAAAAAAAAAAUACCCUC
Long non-coding RNA from Anas platyrhynchos (mallard), 1763 nucleotides. RefSeq lists it as uncharacterized. The record is from RefSeq and is a predicted model, not a curated record. NCBI's taxonomy places the organism in Eukaryota, Metazoa, Chordata, Aves, Anseriformes, Anatidae.